AACGAACGCUGGCGGCAUGCCUAACACAUGCAAGUCGAACGAGACCUUCGGGUCUAGUGGCGCACGGGUGCGUAACGCGUGGGAAUCUGCCCUUGGGUUCGGAAUAACAGUUAGAAAUGACUGCUAAUACCGGAUAAUGUCUUCGGACCAAAGAUUUAUCGCCCAGGGAUGAGCCCGCGUAGGAUUAGCUAGUUGGUGAGGUAAAGGCUCACCAAGGCGACGAUCCUUAGCUGGUCUGAGAGGAUGAUCAGCCACACUGGGACUGAGACACAGCCCAGACUCCUACGGGAGGCAGCAGUGGGGAAUAUUGGACAAUGGGCGAAAGCCUGAUCCAGCAAUGCCGCGUGAGUGAUGAAGGCCUUAGGGUUGUAAAGCUCUUUUACCCGGGAUGAUAAUGACAGUACCGGGAGAAUAAGCCCCGGCUAACUCCGUGCCAGCAGCCGCGGUAAU
RNAcentral lists this ribosomal RNA (450 nucleotides) under uncultured bacterium. RNAcentral's name for it is "bacterial SSU rRNA". It matches the Rfam family "Bacterial small subunit ribosomal RNA", at positions 29 to 524 of the family's 1533-position model. The record is from RNAcentral.